AAAGCCCACUCCAAAACUUCCUAGCUAAAGGGGCUUACAUAAGUUACGUAGCUUCUUUGUGCUAGAGUUUCCUUAUCUAUAAAACAGGAAAAAAUUAAUAACUGUCUCAUAGGUUGUUAUAUGGAUUGAAGGUGUUCAGAACAUUACCUGCCACACUGAUUAGUCUUAUAUUCAGGAUUAGCCUUAUAUUGCCUUCAGCAAAUCUUGCUCAAAUACCUAUUGGAGACAGGAAACAAUAUUUUACAAGCUAUAUGAACAAUGACUAUGCCACAGGGAAAGAGAAAGGUAGGUUUUUUCAUCUCUCAAGGGAAAAGAAAGAACUUACUUCCACUAGAGGGAGCUGUAGUUCUCAGAUGUGAAAC
Molecule: long non-coding RNA, 362 nt
Filed under: Vulpes vulpes (red fox)
Lineage: Eukaryota; Metazoa; Chordata; Mammalia; Carnivora; Canidae
Description: lncRNA (ENSVVUG00000013733.1)
Source: RNAcentral